ACACACACACACAAGGGUUUUCUUGUUUUUUUUUUUUUUUUUUUUUUUUUUUAAACAAUGAAAAUAUUACUCAAAGAAAAAAAAAACACACACACACAGUGGAAUCCUGUCAUGCUUUUCCACAGCUUUCUUGAACUUCUUGUGUUGGUAUUUUUUUCAAUUAAGAAUAUAUAUCUAUCUGUACAUACAGAAGUUCAAGAAUGCUGUGGGAAGACAUGGCAAAGUCUGGAUUUUUUAUUAUUUAUUUAUUUAUUUAUUUGUUUUUUGGUGAUUUUUUGAUUUUUUUCAGGGUGUUGAUAUUUGCAGAAUUCAUCGGUGGUAGUUAAAUUGUAACUCUGGUGGGGAUGAAGAAGAUGAAUCUCCGGUGCACUACUAACCAUGGUUAAUAAUAUGGUCUACAAGAUCUGUACGCACAUGGUAAUAAUUCUGAUUAUAUUUACUGUUUAAUUCAUUAAUUGCAUUAUUUUAAUUAAUCACAUUUGUUUAAUUUGUCAUGUAUUUUUAUUUUGCCACAAUUAAUUAACUUUUUUGUUUUUUCAUCUGUAGAAAAUGAGUACUGCAUUAUAUAUAUUUUUAUAAUUAAGAUGAACUGUUUUUUCAACAUAAUUAGUAUAUGUAAGAAUUUUGUUUAAUUUGUAGCUCCAUUAAUUUUCUUUGAGCUUCUACAUGAUUCUUAAUUACAUGACUUAAAUCUUUAUUUAUUAGUCUUAAUUUUGCUUCUGGUAAGUGCUUCCUUAAUACAGUGUUUGCAUAAUUUAGGAUUAAUUAUGUAUAUUAAUUUUCAAGGUGAUUUAAUCAAUUCUUCAAAAGUAGUAUAUACAAUCUGAAAUAUGUCAUGCAUGCAUGUCCUUUACUUUACAUCUAUAUAUUUAAUUCUGUGAUUACAUUCCCUUUGCUCUGAUUUUUUUAUAAAUUAUAAUCUCAGGGUUAUAUAUUAUAAGCACUAAUUUAAGCAUUUAUCAAAAAGCUCGAUUCUUAAUUCGUAAGUUAGCGACUUUCGAACUUUUCAAACGCUUGGCAAUUAUAUUUUCGUAUAAUCUUGAAUAUAUAUGCAG
This 1055-nucleotide long non-coding RNA is filed under the name Erythranthe guttata (spotted monkey flower). RNAcentral's name for it is "long non-coding RNA (EGUT_LNC003402)". The stretch from base 108 to 222 matches the Rfam family "MIR396 microRNA precursor family". Lineage: Eukaryota; Viridiplantae; Streptophyta; Magnoliopsida; Lamiales; Phrymaceae. The record is from RNAcentral.